RNAcentral lists this non-coding RNA (183 nucleotides) under Burkholderiaceae bacterium. Its description in RNAcentral is "6S RNA". It matches the Rfam family "6S / SsrS RNA". From Rfam's summary of the family: E. coli 6S RNA was the first non coding RNA to be sequenced, but its function was unknown until recently. It consists of 184 nucleotides that fold into an extended hairpin structure with a large single-stranded internal bulge. The 6S RNA specifically associates with RNA polymerase holoenzyme containing the sigma70 specificity factor. Lineage: Bacteria; Pseudomonadati; Pseudomonadota; Betaproteobacteria; Burkholderiales; Burkholderiaceae. The record is from RNAcentral.
UUGUCCCUGCCGUGUUCGUGACUCGACCAUACAGUCUCUGAACCAAUGCUUAGGCAUAAUAGGUAGCAGUAAUCACCGUAGGCGUGACUGUCCCCAGCGGACGGACCCAAUAUGGUGCGAUAAUGCCGCCGACUUGAACCGUAGGUUCGAGAUGCCGGUCUAGACGGCACAGGCGGGGCAUUU